Nothoprocta perdicaria is the source of this 618-nucleotide long non-coding RNA. RefSeq lists it as uncharacterized. The transcript is spliced from 2 exons. The record is from RefSeq and is a predicted model, not a curated record. Lineage: Eukaryota; Metazoa; Chordata; Aves; Tinamiformes; Tinamidae.
GUGCAGUCAAACACACUCCUAUGUGUUACCCGGUCCUGGAUUUAUCCACCGGGUGCUUGGCCUUCAUAGCCAGCAGCCUAAUUCAAGGGCCAGCUUGCCCAGCUCUCCUCUGAUAAUCUUCUCUUCAUGUGAACAGAAUAUUCCCUCAGCUGUUGCAAAAGGACUUGCUGGCACUGCUGGGGUGUUGUGUGAAAGGUUUCUGCCAUUCAAGCUUAUCAACUACCUCAAGCCAGUUGGAAAUCUAAAGGUCUUAAAAUGAGAGAACCACAGGACAAGUUAUUAACCCUACACUGAGAGCAAACCUGCAAAUCCCGGUCCUUUGACCCAUAGUCUAACCUAAUGCAACACCCACCUACUGUGGCUGGAUGCUGGCAGUAAGGCGUAUUUGGUGUGUUUAACUGGCAGCAAGGAUGAGUCCAGCUACACUGCAGUUGGAAGGACUGCUCACUCCCAGUAGUACCGUGCCCUCUUGCUACAUACAUGUGAGGUGUGGUACAAAUAGCUGUCUGAAAUGCUGCCUCGCAUGGACUGGACUGUUCUUUGUUGGAGCAGAAAAAAAUUGAAGUCCUGCCUGCCCUCCUGUCUACUGGCUGAUGGAGCCAGGCUGGUAGCUGAGGA